UCGUAUGUCCUUAUAUUUCGCUCAAUUUGAAUAAAAUUUAUUUCCAUAUUCAUGUUUGUUUUCUUGUUUUUUACAUCUUAAUUUAAAUUUUAGUAACUGUAAUGAUUAUUUAUUUAUUAAUUGAUGUAAUAAAGUACUCAUCUAAUUUAUUAUGCAGUUGUAAAUAACAGUGUAUUGUAAAUAUGUUAUCACAACUUGUAUAUUUGCAGAACUUGAAUUUACGAUCUUUCCGUCCUUUUACAAUUUUUCCCUCCUUUCAGAUCAAUCUGUGAUAUCUUCUCUGUGAUGUCAUUCUUAUAGUAGCUGUGGUUCAAUGUUCAGAUGUGCAUGAAGAGAAUUUACCUGUAACACCUGGGAUUACCUGUGCCGUCCAAGAUGACAAGACCACUGUGUUAUGUUUACCUUGUAUCUGUGAUUUAUUUUUGUGAUUUUUAAUACAAUCUGAGCCAAAAUUCAUUGUCUGUUUUCAUUUUUUCAGUGUUUUCAAGUUUUAUUUCACUUGUAAACACCUGUAAUUAGAAAAUAACAAAGGUUAGAGACAAUGACAAUAAAGAAUAUUAAAGUAUACUUAAUCCUCUUUACAAUGGUAUAUGAUAAAUGUAUAUUAAAAGCAAGUUUCUGGUAGAAAAA
Haliotis rufescens (red abalone) is the source of this 630-nucleotide long non-coding RNA. RefSeq lists it as uncharacterized. Lineage: Eukaryota; Metazoa; Mollusca; Gastropoda; Lepetellida; Haliotidae. The record is from RefSeq and is a predicted model, not a curated record. The transcript has 2 exons.